This 483-nucleotide ribosomal RNA is filed under the name uncultured bacterium. RNAcentral describes it as "partial 16S ribosomal RNA". It matches the Rfam family "Bacterial small subunit ribosomal RNA", at positions 28 to 507 of the family's 1533-position model. The record is from RNAcentral.
GACGAACGCUGGCGGCGUGCUUAACACAUGCAAGUCGAACGCUGAAGCUCAGCUUUUGUUGGGUGGAUGAGUGGCGAACGGGUGAGUAACACGUGAGUAACCUGCCCCCUUCUUUGGGAUAACGCCCGGAAACGGGUGCUAAUACUGGAUAUUCACUGGUCUUCGCAUGGGGGUUGGUGGAAAGGGUUUUUCUGGUGGGGGAUGGGCUCGCGGCCUAUCAGCUUGUUGGUGGGGUGAUGGCCUACCAAGGCUUUGACGGGUAGCCGGCCUGAGAGGGUGACCGGUCACAUUGGGACUGAGAUACGGCACAGACUCCUACGGGAGGGAGCAGUGGGGAAUAUUGCACAAGGGGCGCAAGUCUGAUGCAGCGACGCCGCGUGAGGGAUGGAGGCCUUCGGGUUGUGAACCUCUUUCGCUCAUGGUCAAGCCGCAACAAUGGUUGUGGUGAGGGUAGUGGGUAAAGAAGCGCCGGCUAACUACGUG